RNAcentral lists this small RNA (3556 nucleotides) under Pan troglodytes (chimpanzee). Its description in RNAcentral is "retained intron". The record is from RNAcentral. Lineage: Eukaryota; Metazoa; Chordata; Mammalia; Primates; Hominidae.
AGUAUUUUAUGUAAUAAAAUGAUAAACAAUUUUAAAACAAUGAAAAGUUAAACUUGCUCACCAUAUAAAUAAGCUCAUUGUCAUAAAUAGCUUUUGUUUCUGUAGACAUGGAGAUAAGAACAAAACACCUUUCUAAUUUCAGGGGGUUCAUUUUUCAGCUGAACCUGACCCAGAUUUCUUCAGCUGGAUUGGUACCCUUUAUUUUUAUGUUAGGUGCCCUGUGUAAGCUACAGGAAAGGACAUGGUAUAAUUUCUCAUCUACUCUUCUGAGCUGUUCAGCUCAAUUGGAGGUUGCCUGAGAGCAGGAGCCUCGAGUGCACUGUUCCUGCACUACCUCCCCCACCCCCACCCCACCCCCCUCCCUGAGCAUAUCACCACAAACCUGUUGUUAGAGUAAAAUGAUCAUCAGUGAGGACAGGAGUAGUGUUUGCACUAUUCCCAUCUUCUUAUUUUGCUCCAUGGCUGAUGAGAGCUCUUGAUUUUUAAAAAUUCCCUUCCAUUCUUCUGCCUUUCUUUUAGGUUUCCUUUUCUCAACCCCAUCUAAAGCAGAAAGAAAAAAUAAAGCCGAUUAAAUUUUACUGUUGGCGAAUAUUAAUAGCUGAUACGUGGCACUUGUACAGUGUAAUUAGUAUCACUAGUGAGUAAUUGAGUAAAUGUUGGAAUUAGGUGACAGUGGGAAAGGACCUGGGGGGAGGGAUGUGGAUGGGUAACAUUUUUGGUGUCCCUGAAGUCAUUAACUGUACAGAAGGCAAGCCUUAUAUGAGAAUAGGAUUUAGGUCACAAGGUCCUGUGCUAUCUUUAGACAGAUGUGAAAUGGUCUGUUCUCCCCACCCUUCUGCUCUCUUGUGCACACACGCACUCAUAGACGGAAGCUCUGGGAUCAUUGGAAUCUUCGAGUCUUGUCUAAAAAUAUGACUUUACCUUGGGCAAACUAAUCUCUGUGCCCAGGUGUCUCAUCUGUAAAAUUGGUACUUGUCUCGGAAGGGUAGUUGUGACAGUAGCUGUUUAAACUGCUGUGCCUGGCAUGUAGUAAAUGCUCAAUAAGUUUGAGUUACUGUCAUCACCAUCAUUAAUCAUAUUUUUGUUAUUAUUGUUUUGAUGUACUGUGGGAAGAGCCUCCCUAGCUGACAAUAUUCUUGGUUAAUAAGACUAUUAUUAUAAUUAUCUGUGUAUGACCACCCAUUAGCAAAAUUUUAUCAAGCUUAUUAUAAAUGUUUUUAAAUAGUAUAAAAACAUUUUUUGUUUCCUAUAUGUGCAUGUGUAUUUUUAAAUUUUUAUUGACUAUGCUUUUUAACCUGUUUUUCUUUUUUCUCAUUUGAGAAUGAGUGGUUUAAGAUUGUAGAUUUCAAAUAAUCAUAAAUUGUUUAUUCAUUAAUGAACACUAAAUUCAUCAUGUCUUUCCACUGUAUUUUGAGUACACUUCAAUUAAUACACUUUUCCCAUUUUUUUGUAAAACUAAGCUGUUCUUAGUUGGAAAGCUGUUUGGAGAGUCUUAGUUUUGUCUAAGUUACAUCGCUUUAGUUGCUAUAAAGCUAUUAAGUUUUCUUCGAUAAUGGUAGGGGUGAUUGUUAGGCUACUCCUCAGUCUACCACUUUAUUUCAUAUCAUGAUUUUGCUACAGUUUUAUGAGUCAGUUAGCUAGAAGGCUAUUCCAUAGUUAUUUAUAAUCAAGUACUUGAAAGUGUGAUACUUCAAAAAAACAUACAAACAAAACUCCAUUGAUUAUACUGAUGCUCCUCAACUUACCGAUGGGGCUAAGUCGGGAUAAAGUUGAAAAUGCAUUAACUACCCCAUAAACCCAUCGUAAGUCAGGGACUGUCUGUAUUUGUGGAAAUCAAUAGGCAUUAUUUUUUAAUUUAGUGCAAGAAAAUAAUCACAAGGCAUCUAAUCAUAAAAUAAAUUUGUUGGUGUUAAAGUGCAAUGUUUCAGUUUGGAACAUUGAUCCCAGAGGAUCAAUGUUUUUAGUGUUUUUGAGAAAGAAUUGUUGGGAUAUUAAGUUUUGAUGAUCAUUUAAUCUUCGAGUUAAUAAAAUCUGGACAAGUAUGAACAUGGAUAGAAGUCACACAUUUUUGGAAACUCUACUUUUUAGAAAAUCUUUCUUAUUUGUAUUCAUUUGAACUUACCAACUUUAGUCACUGAAUGUUAUCCCUAAAUGGAACUCAUAUUGUCGGUAACAUUUGUAUUUUCUCUGUGACUUAAAGAAGAAAUUCCUCGGGCCUCUAAUAUCUUAUAUAGUCAAGUAAAUAAUUUUUGGGGGUAUCUCAUGAAGUAUUAAUAAUUUUCUGUAAUCUAAAAUUAAUUAUUCAUAGCUUUUUGUUUAUGGCCAUUUGGUGCUCAUAUUUAAAAGCUGGUUUUCAAAAUGCAUUAAAGUCAGCACAGGUCAUAUAAGAAAAGCCAUCUCCUGCUCUUGUAUUUUAGAGGCUGUGACAACACUGAAAACAGUAUUGGAUCAGCAGCAGACCCCUUCUAGGUUAGCAGUGACCCGUGUCGUCCAGGCAUUGGCCAUGAAGGGUGAUGUUGAAAACAUAGAAGUAGUUCAGAAGAUGUUAAAUGGACUCGAAGACUCCAUUGGACUUUCAAAAAUGGUUUUCAUCAAUAACAUUGCUUUGGCACAAAUAAAGAACAAUAACAUAGAUGCCGCAAUAGAAAACAUUGAAAAUAUGCUUACUUCAGAGAAUAAAGUCAUUGAACCCCAAUACUUCGGCUUGGCAUACUUAUUCAGAAAAGUAAUAGAGGAGCAGUUGGAACCAGCAGUUGAAAAGAUAAGCAUCAUGGCAGAGAGAUUGGCCAAUCAGUUUGCAAUUUAUAAACCUGUCACUGAUUUUUUCCUUCAACUUGUGGAUGCAGGCAAGGUGGAUGAUGCCAGAGCUCUCCUACAGAGAUGUGGUGCAAUUGCUGAACAAACCCCGAUUUUGUUGUUGUUCCUCCUUAGGAAUUCUAGGAAACAAGGAAAGGCAUCAACUGUGAAAUCUGUGUUAGAAUUGAUUCCUGAAUUAAAUGAAAAGGAAGAAGCAUACAAUUCCCUCAUGAAAAGCUAUGUCUCAGAGAAAGAUGUCACAUCUGCUAAAGCACUGUAUGAACAUUUGACUGCAAAGAAUACAAAAUUAGAUGAUCUGUUUCUAAAGCGUUACGCAUCUUUGCUGAAGUAUGCUGGAGAGCCUGUCCCUUUCAUUGAACCCCCUGAAAGCUUUGAAUUUUAUGCACAGCAGCUAAGAAAAUUGAGGGAAAACUCUUCUUGAAAUAAGCAGGCGAUACUUUGUUUUGUAUAUAUUUGUGAUUCUGUGUCUACAUGUUAUUUUGAAGUAUAUCUGAGGGAAAAAUAAACGAAAAUUUUCUUUAUGUACUUUAUGUGUGAUGCAUGUUCAAAGUCUCAUUGACCAUAACUCUGUGCACUUGGUUAUUGGACAUUUUUGGAGUUUUUUUCUCUGGCAAAAAUCGAUAGUGUUUUCUUCAAUGCUGCUGCUGUGUGAAGCCAUACUUUUUCAGGAUUCUUCCCCUAAUUGGCUCUUUGGUUUCCCUGCUCUGUUUCAUUUAUUUCAUUAAAAUGUUAUUCCUUU